UACGGGGGGGGCAAGCGUUGUUCGGAAUUACUGGGCGUAAAGGGCUCGUAGGCGGCCAACUAAGUCGGAUGUGAAAUCCCCAGGCUUAACCUGGGAACUGCAUCCGAUACUGGAUGGCUUGAGUCCGGGAGAGGUGAGUGGAAUUCCCAGUGUAGCGGUGAAAUGCGUAGAUAUUGGGAGGAACACCAGUGGCGAAGGCGGCUCACUGGACCGGUACUGACGCUGAGACGCGAAAGCCAGGGGAGCAAACGGG
This 253-nucleotide ribosomal RNA is filed under the name uncultured bacterium. RNAcentral's name for it is "partial 16S ribosomal RNA". It matches the Rfam family "Bacterial small subunit ribosomal RNA", at positions 524 to 776 of the family's 1533-position model. The record is from RNAcentral.